GUGGGAGUGGGCAAAGAAGGCUUCCCGCCAAGCAGGGAGCCCGAUGCGGGGCUUGAUCCCAGGAAGGCAGACGCUCAGCGACUGAGCCACCCGGGUGCCCGAUUCCACUGUUGGUUUUGACAGAAGAUUAGAACCAUUCUGAGCUGCCUUUGAGUCCCAGCCAGUGAACCUAAGAUGGGUAGAGGAAAAACUCUUCCUCUCCUACAGUUUGGGCAACUGUGAAGGGCCAGUAAAAGCCUGGGAGGCCCCACUGGUUCUAGAACCUACAGAUGAAAUCCUGGAACAAUGGAUAAAACUUGGCAAGAGUGAACUCUCAUCAGACAUUUCACUGUGACAUUUUAAGCCUUUUGUCAUUCAUAGACAAUUAUUGUUUUACUCUGACACUUCCCAGAGAUCUUUUAUAAUAAGCAGCAAUCCGAAAGUACUUACUCCUCAAAGUUCAUGGAGAACCCUCUGACAGAUUCUCUGGAGCAAAGGUUUCUGAUAACUUUGAAAGCAUACCACUU
Long non-coding RNA from Lutra lutra (Eurasian river otter), 506 nucleotides. RefSeq lists it as uncharacterized. Lineage: Eukaryota; Metazoa; Chordata; Mammalia; Carnivora; Mustelidae. The record is from RefSeq and is a predicted model, not a curated record. The transcript has 3 exons.